RNAcentral lists this unclassified non-coding RNA (382 nucleotides) under uncultured bacterium. Its description in RNAcentral is "contains 16S-23S intergenic spacer region". The record is from RNAcentral.
UCCUGGUUUCCCAGGCAGUCCCGCUAGAGUGCUCUCAGAGAGUAGCAACUAGCAGCAAGGGUUGCGCUCGUUAAAGGACUUAACCCAACAUCUCACGACACGAGCUGACGACAGCCAUGCAGCACCUGUGCAGUUGUCUCGACCGAAGCCGAGAAGAUCGUGUUUCCACGACUGUCAAAAGCAUGUCAAGCCCAGGUAAGGUUCCUCGCGUAGUGUCGAAUUAAACCACAUAUUCCACCGCUUGUGCGAACCCCCGUCAAUUCCUUUGAGUUUUAAUCUUGCGACCGUACUUCCCAGGCGAAUCACUUAACGCGUUAGCUUUGAUACCAAUUCAGCUAAGCUGAACUAACAUCUAGUGAUUAUCGUUUACGGCGUGGACUAC